GACGAACGCUGGCGGCGUGCCUAACACAUGCAAGUCGAGGGGCAACGGGGCGUAGCAAUACGCUGCCGGCGACCGGCGGAUGGGUGAGUAACGCGUAUGCAACCUGCCUUCAGCAGGGGGAUAGCCCGUUGAAAGACGGAUUAAUACCCCAUAACACAGGGGCUCCGCAUGGAGAUUAUUGUUAAAGGGAUGCUUCCUUCGGGGGUAUUCCGGCUGAAGAUGGGCAUGCGUUCCAUUAGGUAGUUGGUUGAGGUAACGGCUCACCAAGCCUGCGAUGGAUAGGGGAACUGAGAGGUUGGUCCCCCAACUGGUACUGAGACACGGACCAGACUCCUACGGGAGGCAGCAGUGAGGAAUCUUGGUCAAUGGACGGAAGUCUGAACCAGCCAUGUCGCGUGAAGGAGGACGGCCCUAAGGGUUGUAAACUUCUUUUGCAGCGGAAUAAAGUAUUCCACGUGAUGGGAUAUUGCAAGUACGCUGCGAAUAAGGAUCGGCUAACUCCGUG
This 505-nucleotide ribosomal RNA is filed under the name uncultured bacterium. RNAcentral describes it as "bacterial SSU rRNA". It matches the Rfam family "Bacterial small subunit ribosomal RNA", at positions 28 to 507 of the family's 1533-position model. The record is from RNAcentral.